Molecule: ribosomal RNA, 829 nt
Filed under: uncultured bacterium
Lineage: Bacteria
Description: bacterial SSU rRNA
Rfam family: Bacterial small subunit ribosomal RNA
Source: RNAcentral
GAACGCUGGCGGCGUGCUUAACACAUGCAAGUCGAACGGUGAUGAGGGGCUUGCUCCUCUGAUCAGUGGCGAACGGGUGAGUAACACGUGAGUAACCUGCCCUCCACUCUGGGAUAACGCUGGGAAACCGGUGCUAAUACUGGAUAUGACCUGCUCUCGCAUGGGAUGUGGGUGGAAAGAUUUAUUGGUGGGGGAUGGACUCGCGGCCUAUCAGCUUGUUGGUGAGGUAAUGGCUCACCAAGGCGACGACGGGUAGCCGGCCUGAGAGGGCGAUCGGCCACACUGGGACUGAGACACGGCCCAGACUCCUACGGGAGGCAGCAGUGGGGAAUAUUGCACAAUGGGCGAAAGCCUGAUGCAGCGACGCCGCGUGAGGGAUGAAGGCCUUCGGGUUGUAAACCUCUUUCAGCAGGGAAGAAGCGAGAGUGACGGUACCUGCAGAAGAAGCACCGGCUAACUACGUGCCAGCAGCCGCGGUAAUACGUAGGGUGCAAGCGUUGUCCGGAAUUAUUGGGCGUAAAGAGCUUGUAGGCGGUUUGUCGCGUCUGCUGUGAAAUUUCGGGGCUCAACCCCGAACUUGCAGUGGGUACGGGCAGACUAGAGUGUGGUAGGGGAGACUGGAAUUCCUGGUGUAGCGGUGAAAUGCGCAGAUAUCAGGAGGAACACCGAUGGCGAAGGCAGGUCUCUGGGCCACUACUGACGCUGAGAAGCGAAAGCAUGGGGAGCGAACAGGAUUAGAUACCCUGGUAGUCCAUGCCGUAAACGUUGGGAACUAGGUGUGGGCCUCAUUCCACGAGGUCCGUGCCGCAGCUAACGCAUUAAGUUCCCC